Molecule: long non-coding RNA, 1001 nt
Organism: Pseudophryne corroboree (corroboree frog)
Lineage: Eukaryota; Metazoa; Chordata; Amphibia; Anura; Myobatrachidae
Exons: 4
Source: RefSeq, a predicted model, not a curated record
ACAAAGAUAUAUAGCUGACAAGAGGUCAUCAUCCUGUCAUGUCUACAGAUGGUUCUGCUGCUGCCAACACAAAUACAUCACCCAGAGCCCACCCACACAACAGACACAGUCACAGCCUUUAUUAAAUAAAAACUCACAAUUUACACUGAGUAUCCUGACCAGGGCUAAAAAAGAGAGAGCUCAAAUAAAUAAACAAUCAAUCCAGGAUCCAGAAACACACUGCACAGCUGCAUCAACCUGCCUCGAGGACACAGACAGAGUGAAAGAAACCACGUGACGUCAGCUGACCUGCUCCAGCAGGAUUCUUUUUUACAAACAAGAAAAACUUUAAUCAGUUAAACAAAAACGAACACUGCAGGUCAGCAGAUAACGGCUCUGUGCUGCCCGGAGGGCUGUUAACGGCAGCUAAACCUGACGAAGCAGGCACAGGAGGAAAGGGGCAGCGCAGAUUUUGAAAUCCAGAACAUAAGUUUGGAAGUGAGAAAAAAGCUUAAUUGCAGUUGUCAAGAGGUCAUCGGCAAAGGGUACAUGUAUCCGUAUCCAGUCCGUUCCGCAUCGUGAUCACCUCAGCUACCAGCAUCCACCUAGAGUGGUGUUCCAAGCAGAUUUCAGCAGGCGUCGCGGCAAAUAAGAACAGGACUACCAGACAGGUCGCAACUAGAUGGGUGUGAAAUUACAGGCGAUAUGUGUCAAGGGGUAUAUCUCUCAGCCAGUGAUCCAAUCAGGAUUGAAGUACUCCAGUCGCUAUGACGAUAAUCCACAGAACAAGGAGAAUAGCGCUGAGUGAAGUGGCUGCAAUGUUUAAAGAACCUGCCAAGGAACCAUAUCUGGAUGCCUCUCUUCUGUUUCCAACCAACUUCUGAUCCCGAGACUGCAGAGACAGACAAUGACAGAAGAUGUUAGAAAAAGUUAUCAUAUCAAGCACAAAUAAAACAUUAAUGGUUAUUAUACUGACAUUCAGCAGCCAUUCUAUUGGUGUAAAAUAAAAUUGUUCCCUGUAA